CCUACGGGUGGCUGCAGUGGGGAAUAUUGGACAAUGGGGGCAACCCUGAUCCAGCGACGCAGCGUGAGUGAAGCCGUAUUUCGGUACGUAAAGCUCUCUCAGUAGAAAAGAAAAUGACGGUACCUGACUAUGUAGCCCCGGAUAACUACGUGCCAGCAGCCGCGGUACUACGUAGGUGGCAAGCGUUAUCCGGAUUUACUGGGUGUAAAGGGAGCGUAGACGGCAGCGCAAGUCUGUAGUGAAAUGCCGGGGCCCAACCCCGGAACUGCUCUGGAAACUGUGAAGCUGGAGUGCAGGAGAGGUAAGCGGAAUUCCUGGUGUAGCGGUGAAAUGCGUAGAUAUCAGGAGGAACACCGGCGGCGAAGGCGGCUUACUGGACUGUAACUGACGUUGAGGCUCGAAGGCGUGGGGAGCAAACAGGAUUAGAUACCCUUGUAGUC
RNAcentral lists this ribosomal RNA (440 nucleotides) under uncultured bacterium. RNAcentral describes it as "partial 16S ribosomal RNA". It matches the Rfam family "Bacterial small subunit ribosomal RNA", at positions 338 to 795 of the family's 1533-position model. The record is from RNAcentral.